RNAcentral lists this ribosomal RNA (627 nucleotides) under Russula cerolens. Its description in RNAcentral is "eukaryotic LSU rRNA". It matches the Rfam family "Eukaryotic large subunit ribosomal RNA", at positions 1 to 635 of the family's 3401-position model. Lineage: Eukaryota; Fungi; Basidiomycota; Agaricomycetes; Russulales; Russulaceae. The record is from RNAcentral.
UUGACCUCAAAUCGGGUGAGACUACCCGCUGAACUUAAGCAUAUCAAUAAGCGGAGGAAAAGAAACUAACAAGGAUUCCCCUAGUAACUGCGAGUGAAGCGGGAAAAGCUCAAAUUUAAAAUCUGGUGGUCUUUGGCCAUCCGAGUUGUAAUUUAGAGAAGCGUCUUCCGCGCUGGACCAUGCACAAGUCUCCUGGAAUGGAGCGUCAUAGAGGGUGAGAAUCCCGUCUUUGGCAUGGACCCCAGGGCUUCUGUGAUGCGCUCUCAAAGAGUCGAGUUGUUUGGGAAUGCAGCUCAAAAUGGGUGGUGAACUCCAUCUAAAGCUAAAUAUUGGCGAGAGACCGAUAGCGAACAAGUACCGUGAGGGAAAGAUGAAAAGCACUUUGGAAAGAGAGUGAAACAGUACGUGAAAUUGUUGAAAGGGAAACGCUUGAAGUCAGUCGCGUCGACCGAGACUCAGCCUUGCCUUGGCUUGGUGUACUUCUCGGCUGACGGGUCAGCAUCAAUUUCGAUCCUUGGAUAAUGGCAAGGGAAAGGUAGCACCUUUACAGGUGUGUUAUAGUCCUCUGUCGGAUGCAAGGGUUGGGAUUGAGGAACUCAGCACGCGCCUUGUCGGUGUCGGGGCCUU